UACGUAGGGUGCGAGCGUUAAUCGGAAUUACUGGGCGUAAAGCGUGCGCAGGCGGUUCGCAAAGUCUGAUGUGAAAGCCCCGGGCUCAACCUGGGAACUGCAUUGGAAACUAACGGGCUCGAGUGUGGCAGAGGGGGGUGGAAUUCCACGUGUAGCAGUGAAAUGCGUAGAGAUGUGGAGGAACACCGAUGGCGAAGGCAGCCCCCUGGGCUAACACUGACGCUCAGGCACGAAAGCGUGGGGAGCGAACAAG
RNAcentral lists this ribosomal RNA (253 nucleotides) under uncultured bacterium. RNAcentral describes it as "partial 16S ribosomal RNA". It matches the Rfam family "Bacterial small subunit ribosomal RNA", at positions 524 to 776 of the family's 1533-position model. The record is from RNAcentral.